UACGAAGGGGGCUAGCGUUGCUCGGAAUUACUGGGCGUAAAGGGCGCGUAGGCGGAUGUUUAAGUCGGGGGUGAAAGCCCAGGGCUCAACCCUGGAAUUGCCUUCGAUACUGGACAUCUUGAGUACGGGAGAGGUGAGUGGAACUCCGAGUGUAGAGGUGAAAUUCGUAGAUAUUCGCAAGAACACCAGUGGCGAAGGCGGCUCACUGGCCCGAUACUGACGCUGAGGCACGAAAGCGUGGGGAGCAAACAGG
Molecule: ribosomal RNA, 253 nt
Filed under: uncultured bacterium
Lineage: Bacteria
Description: partial 16S ribosomal RNA
Rfam family: Bacterial small subunit ribosomal RNA
Source: RNAcentral